GACGAACGCUGGCGGCGUGCUUAACACAUGCAAGUCGAGUGGUAAGGCCCUUUCGGGGGUACGACGAGCGGCGAACGGGUAGGAGUAACACGUGGGUGGACCUCGCCCUCCAGCUCUGGGAGUAAGACCUGGGAAACCGGGUACUAAUAACUGGAUAUGACUCCAUGACGCAUGUUGUGGGGUGGAAAGACCUUGUGCGGCUGAGGAUGGGCCCGCGGCCUAUCAGCUUGUUGGUGGGGUGANGGCCUACCAAGGCGACGACGGGUAGCCGGCCUGAGAGGGCGACCGGCCACACUGGGACUGAGACACGGCCCAGACUCCUACGGGAGGCAGCAGUGGGGAAUCUUGCGCAAUGGGCGAAAGCCUGACGCAGCGACGCCGCGUGAGGGAUGACGGCCU
Molecule: ribosomal RNA, 399 nt
Filed under: uncultured bacterium
Lineage: Bacteria
Description: bacterial SSU rRNA
Rfam family: Bacterial small subunit ribosomal RNA
Source: RNAcentral